UACGUAGGGUGCGAGCGUUAAUCGGAAUUACUGGGCGUAAAGCGUGCGCAGGCGGCGCGUUAAGACAGGUGUGAAAGCCCCGAGCUUAACUUGGGAAUUGCGCUUGUGACUGGCGAGCUGGAGUGUGGCAGAGGGAGGUGGGAUUCCACGUGUAGCAGUGAAAUGCGUAGAGAUGUGGAGGAACACCGAUGGCGAAGGCAGCCUCCUGGGCCAGCACUGACGCUCAUGCACGAAAGCGUGGGGAGCAAACAGG
RNAcentral lists this ribosomal RNA (253 nucleotides) under uncultured bacterium. Its description in RNAcentral is "partial 16S ribosomal RNA". It matches the Rfam family "Bacterial small subunit ribosomal RNA", at positions 524 to 776 of the family's 1533-position model. The record is from RNAcentral.